Molecule: transfer RNA, 77 nt
Filed under: Gammaproteobacteria bacterium
Lineage: Bacteria; Pseudomonadati; Pseudomonadota; Gammaproteobacteria
Also listed under: 1 other name
Description: tRNA-Val
Rfam family: tRNA
About the family: Transfer RNA (tRNA) molecules are approximately 80 nucleotides in length. Their secondary structure includes four short double-helical elements and three loops (D, anti-codon, and T loops). Further hydrogen bonds mediate the characteristic L-shaped molecular structure. tRNAs have two regions of fundamental functional importance: the anti-codon, which is responsible for specific mRNA codon recognition, and the 3' end, to which the tRNAs corresponding amino acid is attached (by aminoacyl-tRNA synthetases). tRNAs cope with the degeneracy of the genetic code in two manners: having more than one tRNA (with a specific anti-codon) for a particular amino acid; and 'wobble' base-pairing, i.e. permitting non-standard base-pairing at the 3rd anti-codon position.
Source: RNAcentral
GGGCGAUUAGCUCAGUUGGUUAGAGCGCCGUCUUCACAUGGCGGAAGUCACUGGUUCAAAUCCAGUAUCGCCCACCA